GUGUGUAACACUUCCCCCUUUGUGCUCUCUCUCUCUCUCUCUCUCUCUCUCUCUCCUGUAAGCGGGAAACAUGCUUGCUUCCCCUUUGCUUUCCAUCAUGAUUGUAAGCUACCUGAGCACCGCCCCCACCCAGCCAUGCCUCCUGUACAGCCUGUGGAAGUGUAAGUUAAUAAAAGAGCCCAGUCUCAGAUAUUAUGGAAUAUGAAAACACACAAAAUGUCUAUACAGUCAAGAUAACCUGUGGAAAAAUAAUGAAGACAGUGGAGGAAAGGCAAAAUGGUAAAGAAGAGAAGAGAGAGAAACAAAAUAAUCAUUUUCCAGCCUACCUAAAAUAAUAACCUGGACUUUCAUAAAACUGGCAUAUCUUCUGUUUUACAUGGAAAAUUAUUUUAUCUUAAGUUUCCAUUUAGUUGAUUAAAAAUAGGGUUAUGAAUGUUAAAUAAGUGAUGAUUUAUUGCAAAGGAAAUAUGUUUCGAAAGGUCGAAUAAUGUCUGUAACAAUAAAAGGCAAACUAAAUGAUUUUCUGUUUUCAAUCCUUUGAUGAAUAGUUAGAUUAAGUAAGACCUAUAUUAUGCUUUCUUUUUUAUUCUCAUAUCUAAAUAAUGCUUAUGACCAACUGAACUCACACUUUUCAGAUCCCUGUCCAACUUGACCUCU
This 657-nucleotide long non-coding RNA is filed under the name Homo sapiens (human). RNAcentral describes it as "HSALNT0140377". Lineage: Eukaryota; Metazoa; Chordata; Mammalia; Primates; Hominidae. The record is from RNAcentral.